This 108-nucleotide small nuclear RNA is filed under the name Choloepus hoffmanni (Hoffmann's two-fingered sloth). The record is from RNAcentral. Lineage: Eukaryota; Metazoa; Chordata; Mammalia; Pilosa; Megalonychidae.
GUGCUCACUUUGGCAGUACAUAUACUAAAAAUUGGAACAAUAUGGAGAAGAGUAGCAUGGCCCCUGUGCAAGGAUGACAUGCAAAUUUGUGAAACGUUCCAUAUUUUU